UUUUUAGAAUCAAGAUUAGUAUAGAAUGUGAUUUGAUAAAUUAGGGUUUCUAGAUCACCAAUCCUUUGUACAUAGUUCAUAAUUGAUUUUUAUCCCCACUGAUUAAGUUGAUCAAAUUUCACCUUGGUCAACAAAUAUCUUUGGUUCGUGCUGAUCAAAAGACCCUUGAUCACUUGAUAAGGCAAGUCCCUUAUAUUGAGGUUGCAUUGGAGAUCAAGACUUCAGACUUCAAGUCAGUACAAGUCAUACAUUGCAGACAGAUUGUUCAAGAACAAUAAAGGUGUAUCAACACUUGUCAAUCAUGAUUCAAUUUGUGUACGAUGAACCUUAAGUAAUAAAGAAGAGAUGAGAUGGAGCAUUCAUAUCCUCAUUCUGAAUAUCUUUGGGUACGGGACGAAUAACCCCGUUGCUCAGAGUAUUCACCUAUGUUCAUAGACUUUAGUACAAUUCAAAUAAAAUGAUUGUCAAGUAUCUUUCUUCACAAGCAACACUUCGUCAUAAGGAGCAAUAAGAAGAAUCUUCUUCAGUAACUUGCCAGUUAUGAUGAGUAUCACAUGCCAUGAGCCUUAAGUAGUAAAGAAGGGGUGAGAGGGAGCAUUCAUAUCCUCAUUCUGAAUAUCUUUGGGUACGAGACAAAUGAUCCAGUUGCUCAGAGUAUUCAUCUUUACUCAUAGACUUUAGUGUGGUUCAAGUCAAAUAAUUGCCAAUUCUUAUGCAACUUCAUUCUCAUUUCUCAUCAGUGAUAUAUUGUCUUCUUGGGACCAAAUACCAACUUUGGAUUCCAUAGAUACCUUUGGGUAAAUAACCAAUACCCACUUUUGAAUCAAGAGCUCUUGCUUGUCUUGUUAAUCCUAGUUGUUUAGACAAAUAUCUCGUUUGUUUUCUUAAAAGUCUUAAUGUUAGGAAAACCCCCUUUAUUUUAUUUUCCAUACCAUAUAUUGGUUCAUGCCACCUUUACUCUCUGAUUCAAAUAUCAUUAUCCUGUGGAUUCCAACAAUAUCGUUGUCUUUUGGUACAUGUUAUACUUUUCAUCACUUCGGUCAUACCCUUUCAUUUCUUGUUUGUCUUGUCAGUCCUAGUUGCUUAGACAAACACCUUUUUUCAGUUUAUUCAGCCCUGAUCAAUCUACAGGAAUAGGACAAACAGCAGGAAAUUGCACAAUGUCACAUCUCAACCAGCUCCACUUCUAGAGAUCAGACUUCUAAAAGUGACCUUCUUGAUCACACACACAGUUGACCCUACCCUUGUCACUUUAGCACACACAGAUGUCUCCUCUUCCAGGUCAGGAGUAGGUU
This 1295-nucleotide long non-coding RNA is filed under the name Lathyrus oleraceus (garden pea). RNAcentral's name for it is "Pisum sativum (pea) long non-coding RNA (PSAT_LNC019215)". Lineage: Eukaryota; Viridiplantae; Streptophyta; Magnoliopsida; Fabales; Fabaceae. The record is from RNAcentral.